This 460-nucleotide ribosomal RNA is filed under the name uncultured bacterium. RNAcentral's name for it is "partial 16S ribosomal RNA". It matches the Rfam family "Bacterial small subunit ribosomal RNA", at positions 338 to 795 of the family's 1533-position model. The record is from RNAcentral.
CCUACGGGAGGCUGCAGUGAGGAAUAUUGGUCAAUGGGCGCGAGCCUGAACCAGCCAAGUCGCGUGAGGGAGGACGGCCCUACGGGUUGUAAACCUCUUUUGCCGGGGAGCAACGGGCGCCACGUGUGGCGUCACUGAGAGUACCCGGAGAAAAAGCAUCGGCAAACUCCGUGCCAGCAGCCGCGGUAAUACGGAGGAGGCGAGCGUUAUCGGGAUUUAUUGGGUUUAAGGGUUGCGUGGGCGGAUCGUUAAGUAAGUGGUCAAAUUGAGGGGCUCAACCCCUUCCCGCCAUUGAAACUGGCGUUCUUGAGUGGAAGAGAAGUAUGCGGAAUGCGUGGUGUAGCGGUGAAAUGCAUAGAUAUCACGCAGAACCCCGAUUGUGAAGGCAGCAUGCCGGCUUCCGACUGACGCUGAAGCACGAAAGCGUGGGGAUCGAACAGGAUUAGAUACCCCAGUAGUC